AGUUAGUGCACCCAGAUUUGUCUCUGAGACUCCUGUCAAUCAGGCAGUUGUAUUAAUUAGGAUAGGCUGCAGCAGCAAAGUGAAACUGACAUUUUAGAAGCUUAGCAAAAUAAAGAUAUAGUUGCAGGGCAAGGAAAGUCCAAUUUAGGUUGGGCUACACUCUUGCUUGUGACUUCACCAUAUGAAAUGUGUGGCCUCUUAGGUCACUGCACCAGGGGGAAGAAAGAUCUGGAAGACACAGCAAAAAUAUUUCUAAGAGCCACACCUGAAUGGACUUCGACUGUUUCCUCCCACAAUUCAUUGGCUAGGACCUAGUCACAUGGCUCCAAUAAUUUGAAAAUAAGGCUAGACAAUGAGUCUUCCUGUCUGCACAGGAGGAAAUGAGAUGCUAAAAAUGUCUUUCUUUCAGUGCUCUUUCCACAGAGGUUAGUAGUCUCCUACAAUAUGAGCCUGAAUAGCCAGUAACCAUUUUUUCCCACCCUAUAUAGGGGGAAAAAUACCCUUCAUAAGAAUAAAAGCAGAGAGGAAUCCUCCUGAUUAUACCAUUUGAGUCUUACAUAUAACUUCGACAAAGAACUAAACAUAUUGCUGGGUGCAGGUUAAAAUGGACUCCAAUGCAUCUGGUUGUCAGAGCUAUUGGUUCUUCUCCUGGUGAUCCACUCAAUCACAGCAAUUCAUUGAUUUUCCAGUCAAGUAUCAUGGGCUUUUCUCAUGCCUUUAGAAAACUUCAUUCAUGAUAUAGUUGCAACAGACCUUACUGACUUAGAAAUGUUGCUGUUGAGAGCAGUAGUUACUUCAUCAGAGGUAUUACAAAGACACCUUAUGCCCGGACUUAUACUCCCACUGUACUCUUUAUUCACACUAUAACCUAAGAAAGAGAUCAUGACCCUGCCACUCAUCUGUUCUGCUUGCUUUGAGGAUCUUCAAUGUGCUUUGUACAAUUAGCAUUAAUCUUAACUUCUCCAAAGUUGUUCGUGUUCAUAUGUUUACCAAGAGUACACUCAGCAUUGUGCUAUCUACUGUAAGAGGCAGAAUAAAGGUAAUUUUAGUUGUUAGUGUACCA
This 1063-nucleotide long non-coding RNA is filed under the name Vulpes vulpes (red fox). Its description in RNAcentral is "lncRNA (ENSVVUG00000007621.1)". The record is from RNAcentral. Lineage: Eukaryota; Metazoa; Chordata; Mammalia; Carnivora; Canidae.